GGGAUAUGAUGAGUGGUCUCUACUCUUUUGUGAGAGGGGUGUCCGCCCCCAAAGCCUGUUACGACAGUGGGCACUCUCAUUUGAACCAUCUGAUCCC
This is a small nucleolar RNA of Cannabis sativa, 97 nucleotides long. RefSeq annotates it as small nucleolar RNA Z279/snoR105/snoR108. The transcript has a single exon. The record is from RefSeq and is a predicted model, not a curated record. Lineage: Eukaryota; Viridiplantae; Streptophyta; Magnoliopsida; Rosales; Cannabaceae.